AAAUUGAAGAGUUUGAUCAUGGCUCAGAUUGAACGCUGGCGGCAGGCCUAACACAUGCAAGUCGAACGGUAACAGGAAGAAGCUUGCUUCUUCGCUGACGAGUGGCGGACGGGUGAGUAAUGUCUGGGAAACUGCCUGAUGGAGGGGGAUAACUACUGGAAACGGUAGCUAAUACCGCAUAACGUCGCAAGACCAAAGAGG
This 201-nucleotide ribosomal RNA is filed under the name Escherichia coli. RNAcentral describes it as "partial 16S ribosomal RNA". It matches the Rfam family "Bacterial small subunit ribosomal RNA", at positions 1 to 209 of the family's 1533-position model. The record is from RNAcentral. Lineage: Bacteria; Pseudomonadati; Pseudomonadota; Gammaproteobacteria; Enterobacterales; Enterobacteriaceae.